GAUGAACGCUGGCGGCGUGCCUAAUACAUGCAAGUCGAGCGAACGGACGAGAAGCUUGCUUUUCUGAUGUUAGCGGCGGACGGGUGAGUAACACGUGGAUAACCUACCUAUAAGACUGGGAUAACUUCGGGAAACCGGAGCUAAUACCGGAUAAUAUUUUGAACCGCAUGGUUCAAAAGUGAAAGACGGUCUUGCUGUCACGUAUAGAUGGAUCCGCGCUGCAUUAGCUAGUUGGUAAGGUAACGGCUUACCAAGGCAACGAUGCAUAGCCGACCUGAGAGGGUGAUCGGCCACACUGGAACUGAGACACGGUCCAGACUCCUACGGGAGGCAGCAGUAGGGAAUCUUCCGCAAUGGGCGAAAGCCUGACGGAGCAACGCCGCGUGAGUGAUGAAGGUCUUCGGAUCGUAAAACUCUGUUAUUAGGGAAGAACAUAUGUGUAAGUAACUGUGCACAUCUUGACGGUACCUAAUCAGAAAGCCACGGCUAACUACGUG
RNAcentral lists this ribosomal RNA (497 nucleotides) under uncultured bacterium. Its description in RNAcentral is "partial 16S ribosomal RNA". It matches the Rfam family "Bacterial small subunit ribosomal RNA", at positions 28 to 507 of the family's 1533-position model. The record is from RNAcentral.